Long non-coding RNA from Pipra filicauda (Wire-tailed manakin), 1163 nucleotides. RefSeq lists it as uncharacterized. The record is from RefSeq and is a predicted model, not a curated record. NCBI's taxonomy places the organism in Eukaryota, Metazoa, Chordata, Aves, Passeriformes, Pipridae. The transcript is spliced from 3 exons.
AAGCACUUCUGGCUACUUUCCCCAGUAGCCUCAUGCCUGCCAAGCACCAUUUCGUCACAGCAAAACACUGGGAUCAACAGGAUCAUUAUUUUGGACAGAGACAGAGUAAAGAUACAGGCUGACUAAAUUCUGCAUAUCUGGAUAAAUAUUUCCAAGUUCUUGUAGUGAUGACCUGUGUGGUAAUGGAGAAAGUCUUCUGGUUGCACUCUGCAAACUUCACCCUUAUUCUCACAUAAUCAUUACCAGAAGCUAUAGCUGGAGCAAGGCAACAGAAAAAUAAGGCUACAAGUGGAUUAAUAUGGAGAAGGCCAUGCAUUUAAGGGAGAUACAGGGAAUGGUAAGAUCUGACAUGUCUCUUCAGAACACAUACUGUCAGAACACUUCAGACAGAAGAUUCCUUUUUCCAGGUUAUUUUCAGAAACAGUUUAACUGUUUCCUUUCAAGAGGACCUAUUUUGAAUUCAAUGAGAUGGUUAUACAGGUAAGUUGGAAUAUACUUUAAUAUGGUCAUAUGUAAUUCAGUCAUGGAGAACGAAUAGUUAUUGAAAUGAGACUGCAUUUAGUCUUCAAUGAGGACCGUACCUCUGUACAGAAACCUACUGUUCUGUCAAGGCUCUAUAUGAAAACAUUAAAAGAAAAUUUUAAGGUUUUAUUUAAGGACAUAGAAAAUGUCACAGUAUGCCCUUGAUCCAAACUCUUCUUUGUGCCACUAGGAUUGUCACAGAAUGGUUGAGGGUGGAAGGCCAGUGCUCCAAGCCCUCUGCUUGAGCAGGGUCACCCUGUCCAGACAGCUUUUGAGUAUCUCCAGGGUUGGAUAAACUCCACAAUUUCACUGUCUGACAUCAAUCAAUUUAGAACAUUAUGUGAGUAUCUGCCCUGGGGACCUGAGAGCACCUCUGAUCUCCUAGGUGUGGUAGUCCUCUGUGUGGUAGUUUGAAAGCAAAGAGUGAUUAAAAUUAGAGACCACAAACAGUAAUCACACACUGUCCUUUGCUGAGUCUCCUGAAUUAACUGACUAAAUUAUGAUGAAAAUAUUAUGUGCGGAGAAGUAAUAUAAUGUAUAAUUCUUUUACUCCAAUUCAGUUAAUAGCUGUCUUGUCAGAAUUUUAAGAAAGUGCUACACCAAAUUAUUUAGAAAAAGCUCUAGGGAAAAGAUGUUAAUAG